AGUUUGCUCAUAGGAAAUGUUUUCAGAAAUGCUGCAAUAAGAAAGGGGAUAUAACCUGUGAGAUUUGCAAUCAGAUUUAUUCACCGGAUUACGCUCUUCCACCAGCUAGAACCAAUCCAGAUCUCAUGACUAUUGAUAUCAGGCAUGCAUGGGGCCCGCAAAUCGAUUCCA
Molecule: long non-coding RNA, 171 nt
Organism: Helianthus annuus (common sunflower)
Lineage: Eukaryota; Viridiplantae; Streptophyta; Magnoliopsida; Asterales; Asteraceae
Exons: 3
Source: RefSeq, a predicted model, not a curated record